UUGUUCUUCUUCAUCGGUUAACCAUCUCAAUAUCCAUUAAAACUUUAGGAAAAUAAAAUUAAACCCGGACAAAGUUAACCAUCCUGUAGCCACAUAUAUAGCAAGAUGUCAAUGAGCCAAUUGCGUUAAUUGUUCACAAGGCUACCAUUUCUUUGUAACUUCAACUGGUGUUCAAUGCUGCAAAUGUUUUUCCAAUAAUUGUAGCUUCCUAUAAUGCAAGAAGUUUGUUAUAUAAAAAGUAAACUUUCUACGAAACGAAUACUUGGUCAAAAGACAAGUUACGAAGCAUAACUUACCCAUCAAUACUAUCAUAUCAGUAAACAAUCCUGAAACUUUUGCAUACAUAUUCACCAGCGAAAUAUAUUCCUUCACCAUGCAUCUUUGCACCGAACAGAUCAUGCAUUAUAAAAAGGGAAAUGGGAAGGAGUAUGAUAGAAGUAUUUCUUAAACUAUAGUAACAAAAAUCACAGAUUCAAAUACAUAUAUCAUAACAAAUGAAAUAUAUAUACAACUAGCUUACUUCAACAUCUCAUAUAUAUCUUGAGGAACUUAAUCAAAUCUUCUAAGACAUGAAUCCUGCCAGUAUCUAUAUCAAUAACAGUUGUAAGAGAAUAUGAAACAAAUUACUCUAUAGUACUUAAUGCAACUGAUAUUCAAUGGAGCAAAUGGUCUUGAAUUAUUGUAACUUCAUGUAAUUCAAGAAGCAUGUUAUAUAAAAGAUAAGUUUUCUCUUAAAAGAGUGUCUUGCCAAUAAAUGAGUUAAGAAAACUCACCCAUCGGUGCUAUCAUACCAACCCACCAAUCUCAAAACCUUUGCAUUGGUAUUAGAGCAUUUAAUCUUCGAUGGAUGUGCAUCACCUUGUCAUUACAACUAAAUAGAAUGUAAAGCACAAAGAAAAAAUGACUGAUAAAAUAAGAAUCAUGAUAAAUUUAGUUUAUCAAAAACUCAUAAUCUGAACACCAUAUCUUUUAGUAUAGAAAAUAAACACGAGUGCCGAAAGAUUAAGAAAACUCAACGGAACAAUUGCAGGCACCCAAAGGUAUUUCUAUUCUUCUUUCGCUGCUCAAUAAUAAUCUCACCCCCCCCCACCCCCCCCCCCAAUUUCCACACAUCCUAAGAAAAGUUAUGGGCAAUCAGUUUGUGAUGGUAUCUAAGAUGAACUCACAUGAUUUCCUGUUAUUAAAAUCUAACUAUCUGAAGCAAAAUUGAAGAGCAAAACACAUAGUAAAAAAAUCUAGGCUUUUAAAAGUACACACUCAAUUGUAAUCACGAACUCGAGAACAAUGGACCACACAAUAAUGAAUCACAAUUUAACCCAAAACCUGUAAUAAUAUACAGAUCCACAAGAAUAUUUAAACAAUUUCGGUUACAAAUUCUACAUCGAAAAAUAAACAAAAAAUACCGUAACAGAAAAUAAGAAAGAGCAUGACAAUUCUUUAUUUUUUGAAUUGCACCGACUUACUAUGUAGAGAAGAUGAUGAAGAAGGGGAAUUGAGCCUCCUGAAAGAUUUCGUGAGUUGGGGAGGGGGAGUUGAGCCCUUCUGAAACAUAUCGUGCCCUGUGAAAAAAUGAG
RNAcentral lists this long non-coding RNA (1574 nucleotides) under Nicotiana tabacum (common tobacco). RNAcentral's name for it is "long non-coding RNA (NTAB_LNC001212)". The record is from RNAcentral. Lineage: Eukaryota; Viridiplantae; Streptophyta; Magnoliopsida; Solanales; Solanaceae.